This 254-nucleotide ribosomal RNA is filed under the name uncultured bacterium. Its description in RNAcentral is "partial 16S ribosomal RNA". It matches the Rfam family "Bacterial small subunit ribosomal RNA", at positions 524 to 776 of the family's 1533-position model. The record is from RNAcentral.
GACAGAGGUGCCGAGCGUUAGGCGGAAUCACUGGGCUUAAAGCGCGUGUAGGCGGAUGAGCACGUCUGUCGCUGAAAUCCCCCGGCUCAACCGGGGAACGGGCGCGGAUACGGCUCGUCUGGAGGGGCGUAGGGGGACCUGGAACUUCCGGUGGAGCGGUGAAAUGCGUUGAGAUCGGAAGGAACGCCCGUGGCGAAAGCGAGGUCCUGGACGCCUACUGACGCUGAGACGCGAAAGCCAGGGGAGCGAACGGG